Molecule: non-coding RNA, 221 nt
Organism: Paramuricea clavata
Lineage: Eukaryota; Metazoa; Cnidaria; Anthozoa; Malacalcyonacea; Plexauridae
Source: the annotation of a GenBank genome assembly
GAUAAUGAGCUGUUCGAUAUUGUAUGUUGGUGGUAGACACCGAAGAUAACAAGCAGAAUUAGCUUGUUUAAAAAAGAAUUUGCUGAUCAAUAUCUUAAGUUCGUGCAAAACUGAUAAUCUAUAAUUAUAAGAAAGGUUUUUAAAUGGAAGACCUCUUGACGUUUUGGCAGAUUUCAAGCAAUAAUGCUCCUAGUUACAUUUAACGAUUAUUUAAUCAAAAC